Molecule: small RNA, 309 nt
Filed under: Histoplasma capsulatum var. duboisii H88
Lineage: Eukaryota; Fungi; Ascomycota; Eurotiomycetes; Onygenales; Ajellomycetaceae
Description: Histoplasma capsulatum H88 hypothetical RNA
Source: RNAcentral
AUAUCCAUCUAUCCGAUCCUCACCGACCUUCUUAUCGGCGAGUGAUAGCGGCAUAUCCUAUAUCUGAUUCGAUCUAUAUCGUUCUUUAUUCGAUUCUAUAUCGAUUUUUUCGGUAUCCGAACGACCAAAAAUGUCACUAUCUUGGACUCCUCCAAGAAUUGGAACUUGUGGUACAAGAUGAUGCUAAGUCUUGCCAUAGAACUAGAAGUAUUAGAUUUUAUCAGUGAUGAAAAACCUGAUUGCAUCAGUCAAAUACCCAAGCCAAAUCCUCCAGAAUUCCUUACCGAGCAUACCAUGGAAACAAAGAUU